This 252-nucleotide ribosomal RNA is filed under the name uncultured bacterium. RNAcentral describes it as "partial 16S ribosomal RNA". It matches the Rfam family "Bacterial small subunit ribosomal RNA", at positions 525 to 776 of the family's 1533-position model. The record is from RNAcentral.
ACGGAGGGUGCAAGCGUUGUUCGGAAUUACUGGGCGUAAAGCGCGUGUAGGCGGCCUUUUAAGUCUGAUGUGAAAGCCCGAGGCUCACCCUCGGAAGUGCAUUGGAUACUGGGAGGCUGGAGUACCGGAGAGGAGGGUGGAAUUCCUGGUGUAGCGGUGAAAUGCGUAGAUAUCAGGAGGAACACCAGUGGCGAAGGCGGCCCUCUGGACGGAUACUGACGCUGAGACGCGACAGCGUGGGGAGCAAACAGG